RNAcentral lists this ribosomal RNA (882 nucleotides) under Agaricus sp. YZ-2023a. RNAcentral's name for it is "partial large subunit ribosomal RNA". It matches the Rfam family "Eukaryotic large subunit ribosomal RNA", at positions 72 to 941 of the family's 3401-position model. The record is from RNAcentral. Lineage: Eukaryota; Fungi; Basidiomycota; Agaricomycetes; Agaricales; Agaricaceae.
GGAUUCCCCUAGUAACUGCGAGUGAAGCGGGAAAAGCUCAAAUUUAAAAUCUGGCAGUCUCUGAUUGUCCGAGUUGUAAUCUAGAGAAGUAAUGCCCGUGCUGGACCGUGUAUAAGUCUCCUGGGAUGGGGCGUCAUAGAGGGUGAGAAUCCCGUCUUUGACACGGACUACCAGUGUAUUGUGGUAUGCUCUCAAAGAGUCGAGUUGUUUGGGAAUGCAGCUCAAAAUGGGUGGUAAAUUCCAUCUAAAGCUAAAUAUUGGCGAGAGACCGAUAGCGAACAAGUACCGUGAGGGAAAGAUGAAAAGAACUUUGGAAAGAGAGUUAAACAGUACGUGAAAUUGCUGAAAGGGAAACGCUUGAAGUCAGUCGCGUUGGCCAGGGAUCAGCCUUGCUUUUGCAUGGUGUACUUUCUGGUUGAUGGGUCAGCAUCAAUUUUGACCGCUGGAAAAGGGCCUGGGGAAUGUGGCAGCUUCGGCUGUGUUAUAGCCCCUAGUCACAUACGGCGGUUGGGAUUGAGGAACUCAGCACGCCGCAAGGCCGGGUUUCGACCACGUUCGUGCUUAGGAUGCUGGCAUAAUGGCUUUAAGCGACCCGUCUUGAAACACGGACCAAGGAGUCUAACAUGCCUGCGAGUAUUUGGGUGAAAAACCCGAAUGCGUAAUGAAAGUGAAAGUUGAGAUCCCUGUCGUGGGGAGCAUCGACGCCCGGACCAGAACUUUUGGGACGGAUCCGCGGUGGAGCAUGUAUGUUGGGACCCGAAAGAUGGUGAACUAUGCCUGAAUAGGGUGAAGCCAGAGGAAACUCUGGUGGAGGCUCGUAGCGAUUCUGACGUGCAAAUCGAUCGUCAAAUUUGGGUAUAGGGGCGAAAGACUAAUCGAACC